This 435-nucleotide ribosomal RNA is filed under the name uncultured bacterium. RNAcentral describes it as "partial 16S ribosomal RNA". It matches the Rfam family "Bacterial small subunit ribosomal RNA", at positions 29 to 507 of the family's 1533-position model. The record is from RNAcentral.
AGCGAACGCUGGCGGCAGGCUUAACACAUGCAAGUCGAGCGGGCACUUUCGGGUGUCAGCGGCGGACGGGUGAGUAACGCGUGGGAACGUGCCCUCUGGUUCGGAAUAACUCAGGGGAACUUGAGCUAAUACCGGAUACGCCCUUUUGGGGAAAGGCUUGCUGCCGGAGGAUCGGCCCGCGUCUGAUUAGCUAGUUGGUGAGGUAACGGCUCACCAAGGCGACGAUCAGUAGCUGGUCUGAGAGGAUGAUCAGCCACACUGGGACUGAGACACGGCCCAGACUCCUACGGGAGGCAGCAGUGGGGAAUAUUGGACAAUGGGCGCAAGCCUGAUCCAGCCAUGCCGCGUGAGUGAUGAAGGCCUUAGGGUUGUAAAGCUCUUUUAUCCGGGACGAUAAUGACGGUACCGGAGGAAUAAGCCCCGGCUAACUUCGUG